UAGGCAGAAAGCAAGAUAGAAGCUUCCUCAGCUUUUAGAUCGACAAUCGACAGCUGAGAGACUAUUUUUUGCUAUGGUUGACUAAAUAUGGUCAGGGAAGAGAGAGGCACAAGAGAGCCUGUUUGCCUGGGAGUGCAUGUUUCAAAUGCUUAGCUGCCUAUAAAGCUGUAACAGUUUAGCCUGUGGUCACUGAGGGAAGAAUAUAAGUUGGUCUCUGUAGUGACCAUGUGGAAGUCCUGACCUCGCUUGCAGACUUGACCUCUGGAUAUGACAAGGUGAGGCUCUGUAUUCACUGAUACAUCCCCUUAACUUCACCGAGCUCAUGAAAAGAAGUGCUGAAUCAGCGAAUCGAGUGAGGAACAAGAUGAGAUGGCUGCGGCUGCUGUGACUCUGUAGGUCAUUGCCUCUCUUCCUGCUGCAAAUGCUGCACAACACUAGGCUUACAGGCCCUAGAAGCAAACUCUCCCCUACCCCUCCCCCAAAAGAAAAGAAGAAACUUGUUCUGAAGACUAUGAAGAAAUACCACGCUGAUCUUAGCAAUUUCUGAAAAACUCCACUAAUUCUAUGAAUCUCUUGCAAAAAGAACCAAAUCAGGACAAAGUUCAACAGAUAACUGGUCAAAUGUGUAAGAAUGUCUAUGUCACCGAGAACAAGGAACCAUAAAUGGUAUCAAUGCCAUGACCAGGUAAAUUUUUUAUAAAGUUUAGUCUUUGAUAAAUUGGUCUCUACAAAUGAUCUACCAGUGAUCUACAUCAGUAAGCUGAAUGUUUUACUAACAAAUGAGAAAAUAAAAUACUUUGUUUUUACAGCUAACAACUUAGUAAUACCUACUCAGAGUACAUACUUCUUUAUGUACCCAUAUGAACAUACAAUGCUAUGGAAUGUAAAGAAGUAUGUAUUUUUGGUAGGUAAUAAAGCAUCAAGAGAGAACUAAACUGCAGCUAAAAGAAGCCACUGCUUCUUUCUACAUGAAUGACCUUCAUAUGGUAAAUUAACCUACUAUCAAAUAAAUGACCUUUGGCAAUACUAACACCAAAAACAAAUGUACCUACUACAGAGAGAUGGAAACUAACUAUACCUAAGAGUUAAUAUUUUGUGAAGGAAAAAUUUUACUUUGGUAGAUUUCAAAUUCUCAUGGAACUCCUCUCAAAACGCUUAACUUUAAAACAUUCUUCAUUUUAGAUUUUUAAAUUAAACACUUACAUGACAACGUCUGACUACAAAAGGGAACUAGUAUUACUAAUACAACAGAAUACUAAUACAACAGAAUAAGGGAAAACACAUGACCUAUUUUCUGUCUCCACAAUUUGAUGUUAAUUUAUCACAUUCAGAGGGCUGACUGAUUUGUUAUGAAAAUUAAUAUACAACAAAAGCUGACUUCACUCACAUUUUAACAAAUAUUUUUCAGAUUUUUAUAUAUUUGUCAUCUAUUCAUAUUAGAGAAUUUCCUAAAGCAAAAUUUUUGGUGUUUUAGGUUUUGUAACUGGACACCUACAGACAUAUUCAACAUCCAAAAAGACUAUCUUUUAAGUAAUUGUACAUAAAAAAUAAAAGUGGCCCUUGUUCUCAGGUUUAUCAGAUUCUUAAUCCAAUCUUUGCUUUAAAUGCUGUUAAUACUUAAAAUUAAUUAAAACUUUUAAACAGGAAAAAUGACAAAAUUCUGGAACACAGUUAUAAGUUAAUAGGGUAUAUUGGUAAAAAAUUGUCAAAUAUUUAGAAAGAGUUAUCUUAUUAUCUAUAUUAUCUUUGAAUUUUCUUUUUCCAAACGGAUCAAGUAAGAUCAAAACACUGUAGUAAAGAACUAAUUUAUACAGAUAGAGUAACCACUUUUAUUGGUACUAUGCAAUAAUUCAUUUUUAAUAAACAUAACAGAUCACUAUAUACAGCCUGUUAAAGAUUCCAAAAUAUGUUUUCUAUUUUAUGUGGUUUACUUUGCAUAUUUAUUAAAAUCACAAAUAAUUAAACUCAUAGCAAUAAUAAGUGAUACUGCUUUUAAGCAAUUAAAACAUGACAAAGUUAGAGAAACAAAGGAAAAAAAUUCAUACAUACUAACCUUUUCUUACUAAAAGUUAUUUCAACUGGAAUAUUUAUACACAUAAAGAAAACAUAAUAUUUUAAAUUUCUUAUGUUAGAAAUCGAAAUAUAGGCGACUUAGUUUAACUAUAAUUUUUUAAUAAGACAGUUAUAGAAAGAUGUUUAUUUUUAUUUUAUCAGCAGAUUACAAGGAUAGAUGUAUGUCGCUGCAUGUUUACUGGAAAGUAUAAAAAGUGCAUGAUUAAGAAUCUUCUUGUUAUAUUAAGAGUAUAUAAUCCUAACAAAAUAAAAUAGCAGGCUAUUCAUUUAAAAAGUAAAAUUACACAGUAAGUCUCAUGCUUACAAGUGUAACUUAACGUAUCUAAGAGCAUUUUCAAUCACUCUAAAAUGUCACAUCCAUCACUUAGAUCAGCUGUUCAUUUUUAACUGAGUACAUGUUAAACUCUGGGCAUCUGCUGACACUGGUGUAACUCAAACAUUUCAACUGUCUCCCUGACAGGGAUAACAGAUGCUGACAUUAUCAAAUGCUGUACUAUUUUUUUCACCAUGGCCUCUCCUUGCCCUGAUAUGGCCAGUAAAUGAAACUGAACUGCCAUCCAAAAGCACACUUGAGCAACUGGAUCUGCUAAACAGCUUCCAUAUAACUAGUAAAAAUAGAAGCCAGUGUUGUUGCUAUCUUCAGUACUUAAGUUCAGGCCAUUUAACACCUGUUUCACUUCUAUUAGAAUAAAUGACAGAAAGAAUUGCAGUUACAUUAAUUUUACCAAGAGCAUGAUACUUACUAACCAACAGAUGCAGAAUGUACUGAAUUAAGAAAAGUUUCCAUAUUGCCUGAAUUAGUGUUGACCCAGUUUAAUUCCAAAUAGUAAGAAGAAGCAUAUUUCAUUACUCUUUAUAUUUUACUGUAAGGACAUACCUUAAGACAAACAAACUUUUUAUACAAGUAUUUCAGAAGACAUCCCUUCCCUGAUACUGAAAUCAAUAGAUACAGAUCAGGAAAAUCUGUACAGAUUUUUAAAGUAUUAGUCAUAUGGUAGAUUUUAAUACUCAGAUUUAUGGAUUAUAAGUAACCAUCACAAAUCAGUUUUAUUAAAUUGUUAAUGAAAAAUAACUAGAGAAACUGCACCCGAAACUACAGAGGAUUUAGUCAAAGAAACAGACCUUUAGAAGGUCUUAAUAGACCAAAGACUUAUAGCCUUCCAUAGCAAAAACAAAGAAAAACAACAAGGCAAGCACAGUUCAUUUCAACACAAGUCCAAGCAAUUCACUGAAUACACAUGUGAACUAUUUAUAAAGCAAAGGGCAGUGGUACUUUCUUAAGGCCACUUAUAUUCCUCCACCCCAUGUCAACAACUUGCUAUUCAUCCUCAACUAUAACACACACACACACAAAAAGCAAUGGUGGUAGAAAUGUGUUAUUAGCAGUACUCUUCAUCAACCCAUUAGCUUAACCACUGAAGUCAUCUGGUUUGCUGCCUAGUAAUAGAAAACAUUACUCUGAAAUACAUAAGGUCUAUUUGUUCUUCUAAAUACUGUUGGUUUUACAAAAAGUUAUUGUCUACACUUAAGAAUUAGCAAAGAUGUUGAAAAUAAAGAUGUACAAUGAUAAUUCCUUAAUGCUUUAACAACAUGUUAAAAGGAAGACUUCUGAACCCAAAGAAUAGGAAAUCAUAGGAAAAGUGCCUUCAAAACAGAAAUUUCACAUUCAUUGACUGAAGCACUGGUAGCAAGAAUUUCUAAGGUCCAGAACUAUAAUUUCACAAAUGAAAAGCAUUUAACUGUUUUGGAUUCCAAACUAACAGCACUACAAUGCUUUGCUAGAGCUGGUAAAAUGGAACCAAAUCGCCUCUUCAAUGGAUUUGGUCCCCUUCAACCAGCUGUAGCUAUGCAUUGAUUACUACAGGACAGCCAACAUUUUCAUUCAUGAAUGUCAAUCACAUAUCAACUAAUUUCAACUUACUUAAAUUAUUCAGAAUGUGGUUAACAUAAAAUAAUUUGUUAUUAUUCUACUUAGAAGAGUUCUAGGGGUUAAAGUUGUUUACAAAAAGCUUUAUGAACCAUGUGUGUAAGACUUAAGGGUUUCAAAUAAAAUAAUUUUGCUGA
Molecule: non-coding RNA, 4137 nt
Organism: Oryctolagus cuniculus (rabbit)
Lineage: Eukaryota; Metazoa; Chordata; Mammalia; Lagomorpha; Leporidae
Source: RefSeq, a predicted model, not a curated record